AGUGAACGCUGGCGGUAGGCCUAACACAUGCAAGUCGAACGGCAGCACAGUAAGAGCUUGCUCUUACGGGUGGCGAGUGGCGGACGGGUGAGGAAUACAUCGGAAUCUACUUUUUCGUGGGGGAUAACGUAGGGAAACUUACUCUAAUACCGCAUACGACCUACGGGUGAAAGCAGGGGAUCUUCGGACCUUGCGCGAUUGAAUGAGCCGAUGUCGGAUUAGCUAGUUGGCGGGGUAAAGGCCCACCAAGGCGACGAUCCGUAGCUGGUCUGAGAGGAUGAUCAGCCACACGGGAACUGAGAAACGGUCCAGACUCCUACGGGAGGCAGCAGUGGGGAAUAUUGGACAAUGGGCGCAAGCCUGAUCCAGCCAUACCGCGUGGGUGAAGAAGGCCUUCGGGUUGUAAAGCCCUUUUGUUGGGAAAGAAAAGCAGCAGGUUAAUACCCCGCUGUUCUGACGGUACCCAAAGAAUAAGCACCGGCUAACUUCGUG
RNAcentral lists this ribosomal RNA (492 nucleotides) under uncultured bacterium. RNAcentral describes it as "partial 16S ribosomal RNA". It matches the Rfam family "Bacterial small subunit ribosomal RNA", at positions 29 to 507 of the family's 1533-position model. The record is from RNAcentral.